Molecule: ribosomal RNA, 300 nt
Filed under: uncultured bacterium
Lineage: Bacteria
Description: bacterial SSU rRNA
Rfam family: Bacterial small subunit ribosomal RNA
Source: RNAcentral
AAGUCCCGUAACGAGCGCAACCCUAUCCUUAUUUGCCAGCGAGUAAUGUCGGGAACUCUAAGGAGACUGCCGGUGACAAACCGGAGGAAGGUGGGGACGACGUCAAGUCAUCAUGGCCCUUACGGGUAGGGCUACACACGUGCUACAAUGGCAAGUACAAAGGGUUGCAAUACUGCGAAGUGGAGCCAAUCCCAUAAAGCUUGCCUCAGUCCGGAUUGGAGUCUGCAACUCGACUCCAUGAAGUCGGAAUCGCUAGUAAUCGUGGAUCAGAAUGCCACGGUGAAUACGUUCCCGGGCCUU